RNAcentral lists this transfer RNA (83 nucleotides) under Xylaria castorea. RNAcentral's name for it is "tRNA-Asp". It matches the Rfam family "tRNA". From Rfam's summary of the family: Transfer RNA (tRNA) molecules are approximately 80 nucleotides in length. Their secondary structure includes four short double-helical elements and three loops (D, anti-codon, and T loops). The record is from RNAcentral. Lineage: Eukaryota; Fungi; Ascomycota; Sordariomycetes; Xylariales; Xylariaceae.
UCUCGAUUGGUCUAGUGGUAAGGAUACCUGCUUGUCAUGUAUACAAUACGCAGGUGGCCGGGGUUCGAUUCCCCGAUCGAGAG